RNAcentral lists this ribosomal RNA (253 nucleotides) under uncultured bacterium. RNAcentral describes it as "partial 16S ribosomal RNA". It matches the Rfam family "Bacterial small subunit ribosomal RNA", at positions 524 to 776 of the family's 1533-position model. The record is from RNAcentral.
UACGGAGGUGGCGAGCGUUACUCGGAUUCAUUGGGUGUAAAGGGCAGGUAGGCGGCUAUGCAAGUUGGAGGUGAAAUCCUUUGGCUCAACCAAAGAACUGCCUUCAAAACUGCAUAGCUUGAGGCUAAAAGAGGAGAGCGGAAUUCCCGGUGUAAGGGUGAAAUCUGUAGAUAUCGGGAGGAACACCAGUGGCGAAAGCGGCUCUCUGGGUUAGCCCUGACGCUAAUCUGCGAAAGCUAGGGGAGCAAACAGG